GGGACACCCCUCGGGUUCUCUGUUAGAUAGCAUGCAUGUCUAAGUAUAAACAACUUUAUACUGUGAAACUGCGAACGGCUCAUUAUAUCAGCAAUUAUUUAUUUGAUGGUUUCUUACUACAUGGAUAACCGUAGUAAUUCUAGAGCUAAUACAUGCGUAAAGUCUCGACUCUUGCGGGGAGGGAUGUAUUUAUUAGAUUAAAAGCCAACGCGGGUUCGUCCCGGUCUUUUGGUGAGUCAUAGUAACUGUUCGAAUCGCAUGGCCUUGCGCCGGCGAUAGUUCAUUCAAAUUUCUGCCCUAUCAGCUUUCGACGGUAGUGUAGUGGACUACCGUGGCAUUCACGGGUGACGGAGAAUUAGGGUUCGAUUCCGGAGAGGGAGCCUGAAAAACGGCUACACAUCCAAGGAAGGCAGCAGGCGCGCAAAUUACCCAAUCCUGACACAGGGAGGUAAUGACAAUAAAUAACAAUACCGGGCCCGUUCCGGUCUGGAAUUGAAAUG
RNAcentral lists this ribosomal RNA (500 nucleotides) under uncultured eukaryote. RNAcentral's name for it is "SSU rRNA". It matches the Rfam family "Eukaryotic small subunit ribosomal RNA", at positions 32 to 516 of the family's 1831-position model. The record is from RNAcentral.